GACGAACGCUGGCGGCGUGCCUAAUACAUGCAAGUAGAACGCACAGUUUAUACCGUAGCUUGCUACACCAUACACUGUGAGUUGCGAACGGGUGAGUAACGCGUAGGUAACCUGCCUGGUAGCGGGUGAUAACUAUUGGAAACGAUAGCUAAUACCGCAUAAUAUUCAUUAUUGCAUGAUAAUUGAUUGAAUGAUGCAAUUGCAUCACUACCAGAUGGCCCUGCGUUGUAUUAGCUAGUAGGUGAGGUAACGGCUCACCUAGGCGACGAUACAUAGCCGACCUGGGGGGGUGAACGGGCAAACUGGGAAUGGGACAAGGCCCAGACCCCCACGGGGGGCAGCAGGAGGGAAUCUUCGGGAAUGGGCGAAAGGCUGAACGAGGAACGCCGCGGGAGGGAAGAAGGUUUUCGGGUCGUAAAGAUCUGUUGUAAGAGAAGAAAGGGUGUGAGAGUGGAAAGUUCACACUGUGACGGUAUCUUACCAGAAAGGGACGGCUAACUACGUG
RNAcentral lists this ribosomal RNA (505 nucleotides) under uncultured bacterium. RNAcentral describes it as "partial 16S ribosomal RNA". It matches the Rfam family "Bacterial small subunit ribosomal RNA", at positions 28 to 507 of the family's 1533-position model. The record is from RNAcentral.